Molecule: long non-coding RNA, 515 nt
Organism: Papaver somniferum (opium poppy)
Lineage: Eukaryota; Viridiplantae; Streptophyta; Magnoliopsida; Ranunculales; Papaveraceae
Exons: 3
Source: RefSeq, a predicted model, not a curated record
CUCUGAUAUAAUCUAGAGAAAAAGAAGAAAUCCCCAUUUUCAUCACAUCAUUAGUAUAUUGAAGAAGAGUACGACAGAAAUCAGUGAAGAUGUUUUGGUUAGAAGCCGUUCUUCCAUUAGGAAUCAUUGCUGGAUUUCUUUGUGUGAUGGGUAAUUCUCAGUAUUACAUCUACAAAGCAGCUAAUGGCAGGCCUAAGCAUAUCGGUAAUGAUAUGUGGGAUGUGGCUAUGGACAGAAGGGACAAGAAGCUGGUCGAGAAAUUGUAUGCUGAGCAGAACUAGGUAAAUGGUGUCAAUUCACUCUCAUCUGUAAGGAAAUAAAGUGCUGAUGUAUCCACUAAAACUACUCAUUGAGAUGCUUCGAAUGCAGCUCAGACUUUGUUCCUUUUAUUUUACCUCUUUCAGUUUGGUUUUGUAACAAUUAUGCCAUUGUGUUUAUGUUUGACAAAUCUCCGAUUCACGGUUAGGUUUGUAUUUGGAUUCAACUUCAUGAAUGAGAACGAGCACUUGAGACAA